AUACGUAGGGAGCGAGCGUUGUCCGGAAUUACUGGGUGUAAAGGGAGCGUAGGCGGGAGUGCAAGUCAGCUGUGAAAUACAUGGGCUCAACCCAUGGGCUGCAUUUGAAACUGCAUUUCUUGAGUGAAGUAGAGGUAAGCGGAAUUCCUGGUGUAGCGGUGAAAUGCGUAGAUGUCAGGAGGAACACCGGUGGCGAAGGCGGCUUACUGGGCUUUUACUGACGCUGAGGCUCGAAAGCGUGGGGAGCAAACAGGAUUAGAUACCCUGGUAGUCCACGCUGUAAACGAUGAUUACUAGGUGUGGGGGGACUGACCCCUUCCGUGCCGCAGUUAACACAAUAAGUAAUCCACCUGGGGAGUACGGCCGCAAGGU
RNAcentral lists this ribosomal RNA (372 nucleotides) under uncultured bacterium. Its description in RNAcentral is "partial 16S ribosomal RNA". It matches the Rfam family "Bacterial small subunit ribosomal RNA", at positions 523 to 894 of the family's 1533-position model. The record is from RNAcentral.